CCUACGUGAGGCUGCAGUGGGGAAUAUUGGACAAUGGGCGAAAGCCUGAUCCAGCCAUGCCGCGUGUGUGAAGAAGGCCUUCGGGUUGUAAAGCACUUUCAGUGGGGACGAAAGCCUUGGGGCUAAUACCCUCGAGGAAGGACAUCACCCACAGAAGAAGCACCGGCUAACUCCUUGCCAGCAGCCGCGGUAAUACGGAGGGUGCGAGCGUUAAUCGGAAUUACUGGGCGUAAAGCGCGCGUAGGCGGUCUGAUAAGCCGGUUGUGAAAGCCCCGGGCUCAACCUGGGAACGGCAUCCGGAACUGUCAGGCUAGAGUGCAGGAGAGGAAGGUAGAAUUCCCGGUGUAGCGGUGAAAUGCGUAGAGAUCGGGAGGAAUACCAGUGGCGAAGGCGGCCUUCUGGACUGACACUGACGCUGAGGUGCGAAAGCGUGGGUAGCAAACAGGAUUAGAUACCCUUGUAGUC
RNAcentral lists this ribosomal RNA (465 nucleotides) under Vreelandella stevensii. RNAcentral's name for it is "partial 16S ribosomal RNA". It matches the Rfam family "Bacterial small subunit ribosomal RNA", at positions 338 to 795 of the family's 1533-position model. Lineage: Bacteria; Pseudomonadati; Pseudomonadota; Gammaproteobacteria; Oceanospirillales; Halomonadaceae. The record is from RNAcentral.